This 460-nucleotide ribosomal RNA is filed under the name uncultured bacterium. RNAcentral describes it as "partial 16S ribosomal RNA". It matches the Rfam family "Bacterial small subunit ribosomal RNA", at positions 338 to 795 of the family's 1533-position model. The record is from RNAcentral.
CCUACGGGAGGCAGCAGUGAGGAAUAUUGGUCAAUGGACGAGAGUCUGAACCAGCAAAGUAGCGUGAAGGAUGACUGCCCUAUGGGUGGUAAACUUCUUUUAUAUGGGAAUAAAAUGUUCCACGUGUGGGAUUUUGUAUGUACCAUAUGAAUAAGGAUCGGCUAACUCCGUGCCAGCAGCCGCGGUAAUACGGAGGAUCCGAGCGUUAUCCGGAUUUAUUGGGUUUAAAGGGAGCGUAGGUGGAUUGUUAAGUCAGUUGUGAAAGUUUGCGGCUCAACCGUAAAAUUGCAGUUGAAACUGGCAGUCUUGAGUACAGUAGAGGUGGGCGGAAUUCGUGGUGUAGCGGUGAAAUGCUUAGAUAUCACGAAGAACUCCGAUUGCGAAGGCAGCUCACUGGACUGCAACUGACACUGAGGCUCGAAAGUGUGGGUAUCAAACAGGAUUAGAUACCCCGGUAGUC